Molecule: ribosomal RNA, 2922 nt
Filed under: Pseudomonas aeruginosa
Lineage: Bacteria; Pseudomonadati; Pseudomonadota; Gammaproteobacteria; Pseudomonadales; Pseudomonadaceae
Also listed under: 3 other names
Description: 23S ribosomal RNA
Rfam family: Bacterial large subunit ribosomal RNA
Source: RNAcentral
GAUUAAGUUAUUAAGGGCGCACGGUGGAUGCCUUGGCACUAGAAGCCGAUGAAGGACGUUACUAACGACGAUAUGCUUUGGGGAGCUGUAAGUAAGCGUUGAUCCAGAGAUUUCCGAAUGGGGAAACCCAGCAUGAGUUAUGUCAUGUUAUCGAUAUGUGAAUACAUAGCAUAUCAGAAGGCAGACCCGGAGAACUGAAACAUCUUAGUACCCGGAGGAAGAGAAAGAAAAAUCGAUUCCCUGAGUAGCGGCGAGCGAAACGGGAAGAGCCCAAACCAACAAGCUUGCUUGUUGGGGUUGUAGGACACUCUAUACGGAGUUACAAAAGUAUAUAUUAGACGAAUCAUCUGGAAAGUUGAAUCAAAGAAGGUAAUAAUCCUGUAGUCGAAAAUAUAUACUCUCUUGAGUGGAUCCUGAGUACGACGGAGCACGUGAAAUUCCGUCGGAAUCUGGGAGGACCAUCUCCUAAGGCUAAAUACUCUCUAGUGACCGAUAGUGAACCAGUACCGUGAGGGAAAGGUGAAAAGUACCCCGGAAGGGGAGUGAAAGAGAACUUGAAACCGUGUGCUUACAAGUAGUCAGAGCCCGUUAAUGGGUGAUGGCGUGCCUUUUGUAGAAUGAACCGGCGAGUUACGAUUUGAUGCAAGGUUAAGCAGCUAAUGUGGAGCCGUAGCGAAAGCGAGUCUGAAUAGGGCGUUUAGUAUUUGGUCGUAGACCCGAAACCAGGUGAUCUACCCUUGGUCAGGUUGAAGUUCAGGUAACACUGAAUGGAGGACCGAACCGACUUACGUUGAAAAGUGAGCGGAUGAACUGAGGGUAGCGGAGAAAUUCCAAUCGAACUUGGAGAUAGCUGGUUCUCUCCGAAAUAGCUUUAGGGCUAGCCUCAAGUGAUGAUUAUUGGAGGUAGAGCACUGUUUGGACGAGGGGCCCUUCUCGGGUUACCGAAUUCAGACAAACUCCGAAUGCCAAUUAAUUUAACUUGGGAGUCAGAACAUGGGUGAUAAGGUCCGUGUUCGAAAGGGAAACAGCCCAGACCACCAGCUAAGGUCCCAAAAUAUAUGUUAAGUGGAAAAGGAUGUGGCGUUGCCCAGACAACUAGGAUGUUGGCUUAGAAGCAGCCAUCAUUUAAAGAGUGCGUAAUAGCUCACUAGUCGAGUGACACUGCGCCGAAAAUGUACCGGGGCUAAACAUAUUACCGAAGCUGUGGAUUGUCCGUAGGACAAUGGUAGGAGAGCGUUCUAAGGGCGUCGAAGCAUGAUCGCAAGGACAUGUGGAGCGCUUAGAAGUGAGAAUGCCGGUGUGAGUAGCGAAAGACGGGUGAGAAUCCCGUCCACCGAUUGACUAAGGUUUCCAGAGGAAGGCUCGUCCGCUCUGGGUUAGUCGGGUCCUAAGCUGAGGCCGACAGGCGUAGGCGAUGGAUAACAGGUUGAUAUUCCUGUACCACCUAGUAUCGUUUUAAUCGAUGGGGGGACGCAGUAGGAUAGGCGAAGCGUGCUAUUGGAUUGCACGUCCAAGCAGUAAGACUGAGUGUUAGGCAAAUCCGGCACUCAUAAGGUCAAGCUGUGAUGGGGAGAGGAAAUUGUUUCCUCGAGUCGUUGAUUUCACACUGCCAAGAAAAGCCUCUAGAUAGAUAACAGGUGCCCGUACCGCAAACCGACACAGGUAGUCAAGAUGAGAAUUCUAAGGUGAGCGAGCGAACUCUCGUUAAGGAACUCGGCAAAAUGACCCCGUAACUUCGGGAGAAGGGGUGCUCUUUAGGGUUAACGCCCAGAAGAGCCGCAGUGAAUAGGCCCAAGCGACUGUUUAUCAAAAACACAGGUCUCUGCUAAACCGUAAGGUGAUGUAUAGGGGCUGACGCCUGCCCGGUGCUGGAAGGUUAAGAGGAGUAGUUAGCUUCUGCGAAGCUACGAAUCGAAGCCCCAGUAAACGGCGGCCGUAACUAUAACGGUCCUAAGGUAGCGAAAUUCCUUGUCGGGUAAGUUCCGACCCGCACGAAAGGCGUAACGAUUUGGGCACUGUCUCAACGAGAGACUCGGUGAAAUCAUAGUACCUGUGAAGAUGCAGGUUACCCGCGACAGGACGGAAAGACCCCGUGGAGCUUUACUGUAGCCUGAUAUUGAAAUUCGGCACAGCUUGUACAGGAUAGGUAGGAGCCUUUGAAACGUGAGCGCUAGCUUACGUGGAGGCAUUGGUGGGAUACUACCCUAGCUGUGUUGGCUUUCUAACCCGCACCACUUAUCGUGGUGGGAGACAGUGUCAGGUGGGCAGUUUGACUGGGGCGGUCGCCUCCUAAAAGGUAACGGAGGCGCUCAAAGGUUCCCUCAGAAUGGUUGGAAAUCAUUCAUAGAGUGUAAAGGCAUAAGGGAGCUUGACUGCGAGACUUACAAGUCGAGCAGGGUCGAAAGACGGACUUAGUGAUCCGGUGGUUCCGCAUGGAAGGGCCAUCGCUCAACGGAUAAAAGCUACCCCGGGGAUAACAGGCUUAUCUCCCCCAAGAGUUCACAUCGACGGGGAGGUUUGGCACCUCGAUGUCGGCUCAUCGCAUCCUGGGGCUGUAGUCGGUCCCAAGGGUUGGGCUGUUCGCCCAUUAAAGCGGUACGCGAGCUGGGUUCAGAACGUCGUGAGACAGUUCGGUCCCUAUCCGUCGUGGGCGUAGGAAAUUUGAGAGGAGCUGUCCUUAGUACGAGAGGACCGGGAUGGACAUACCUCUGGUGUACCAGUUGUCGUGCCAACGGCAUAGCUGGGUAGCUAUGUAUGGACGGGAUAAGUGCUGAAAGCAUCUAAGCAUGAAGCCCCCCUCAAGAUGAGAUUUCCCAACUUCGGUUAUAAGAUCCCUCAAAGAUGAUGAGGUUAAUAGGUUCGAGGUGGAAGCGUGGUGACACGUGGAGCUGACGAAUACUAAUCGAUCGAAGACUUAAUCAA